Molecule: ribosomal RNA, 497 nt
Filed under: uncultured bacterium
Lineage: Bacteria
Description: partial 16S ribosomal RNA
Rfam family: Bacterial small subunit ribosomal RNA
Source: RNAcentral
GAUGAACGCUGGCGGCGUGCCUAAUACAUGCAAGUCGAGCGAACAGACGAGGAGCUUGCUCCUCUGACGUUAGCGGCGGACGGGUGAGUAACACGUGGAUAACCUACCUAUAAGACUGGGAUAACUUCGGGAAACCGGAGCUAAUACCGGAUAAUAUAUUGAACCGCAUGGUUCAAUAGUGAAAGACGGUUUUGCUGUCACUUAUAGAUGGAUCCGCGCCGCAUUAGCUAGUUGGUAAGGUAACGGCUUACCAAGGCGACGAUGCGUAGCCGACCUGAGAGGGUGAUCGGCCACACUGGAACUGAGACACGGUCCAGACUCCUACGGGAGGCAGCAGUAGGGAAUCUUCCGCAAUGGGCGAAAGCCUGACGGAGCAACGCCGCGUGAGUGAUGAAGGUCUUCGGAUCGUAAAACUCUGUUAUUAGGGAAGAACAAAUGUGUAAGAAACUAUGCACGUCUUGACGGUACCUAAUCAGAAAGCCACGGCUAACUACGUG